Molecule: unclassified non-coding RNA, 231 nt
Filed under: fungal sp.
Lineage: Eukaryota; Fungi
Description: partial internal transcribed spacer region
Rfam family: Eukaryotic small subunit ribosomal RNA (bases 1-47)
Source: RNAcentral
AAAGUCGUAACAAGGUUUCCGUAGGUGAACCUGCGGAAGGAUCAUUAACACAAUAAUAUCCAAAACCUUUUGGAUCAACCCAACCUUAGUGAACCGUUUUUCCCUUUUCUUAAUUCAAUUUUAACAAACUCAAUCUGAUUUGUAAUAUGUCUGAUCUUUUUUCUCAGAAGAAAUUCCGAGAAAAUAAAUUCUAACGUAAUACAACUCUUAACAACGGAUAUCUUGGCUCUC